This 642-nucleotide ribosomal RNA is filed under the name Enterococcus faecium. RNAcentral's name for it is "bacterial LSU rRNA". It matches the Rfam family "Bacterial large subunit ribosomal RNA", at positions 683 to 1333 of the family's 2925-position model. Lineage: Bacteria; Bacillati; Bacillota; Bacilli; Lactobacillales; Enterococcaceae. The record is from RNAcentral.
UUUAACUGAGCGUUCAGGAACUUCACGGAGACUCGCACCGGGGCGAACUACCCAUGAGCAGAAUGAUGCGAAGGUAAAAUUUCGGGGAGGCCCGAACCAACGAGCGUUGAGCAGCACGGGGAUGACUCGUGGGGCGCGUUGAAAUUCCAAUCGAGCCCGGAGAUAGCUGGUUCUCCCCGAAAUAGCUUUAGGGCUAGCCUCAAGGUGAGAGAUACGGAGGUAGAGCACUGAAUGUCCUAGGGGGUAUUGCACCUACCGAAGACUAUCAAACUCCGAAUGCCGUCAUCUUAUACUUGGGAGUCAGACUGUGGGUGAUAAGAUUCAUAGUCGAAAGGGCAACAGCCCAGAUCGUCAGCUAAGGUCCCUAAAUGUAAGUUAAGUGGUAAAGGAUGUGGGAUUGCACAGACAACCAGGAUGUUGGCUUAGAAGCAGCCACUCAUUCAAAGAGUGCGUAAUAGCUCACUGGUCGAGUGAUCCUGCGCCGAAGAUUUCCGGGGCUAAAACUUACUACCGAAGCUACGGCAUCAGUAAUGAUGGGUAGGGGAGCUUCCCAUACGGGUUGAAGCAUGACCGUAAGGACAUGUGGACAGUAUGGGAGUGAGAAUGUUGGCAUGAGUAGCGAGAUGUGGGUGAGAAUCCCAC